Molecule: ribosomal RNA, 253 nt
Filed under: uncultured bacterium
Lineage: Bacteria
Description: partial 16S ribosomal RNA
Rfam family: Bacterial small subunit ribosomal RNA
Source: RNAcentral
UACAGAGGUCCCAAGCGUUGUUCGGAUUUACUGGGCGUAAAGGGCGCGUAGGUGGCAUUCUAAGUCUGAUGUGAAAGCUCUGAGCUUAACUCAGAAAUGGCAUUAGAUACUAGUUUGCUUGAGGAUUGGAGGGGAGAUUGGAAUACUUGGUGUAGCAGUGAAAUGCGUAGAUAUCAAGUGGAACACCAGUGGCGAAGGCGAAUCUCUGGACAAUUCCUGACACUGAUGCUCGAAAGCUAGGGGAGCAAACGGG